This is a long non-coding RNA of Lytechinus variegatus (green sea urchin), 3703 nucleotides long. RefSeq lists it as uncharacterized. NCBI's taxonomy places the organism in Eukaryota, Metazoa, Echinodermata, Echinoidea, Temnopleuroida, Toxopneustidae. The transcript is spliced from 2 exons. The record is from RefSeq and is a predicted model, not a curated record.
CGGUUUUGUUUUUUCUGGGAAGCACUGUAUAGGCAUCGUCUGUGCACCCAUGAGCAGGUCAAAAAGCAACACACUGUGAGUGAGAGAGUAUGUGCAACAGUUGAAAACAGACAAGUACAACAACUUGGCAUAUACUAGGCAUCGACUGUGCUUCCAUGAGCAGGUCAGAAAGCAACACACUGCGAGUGAGAGAGUAUGUGCAAUAGUAGAAAACAGACAAGUACAACAACUUGGUAUAUAGGAUGGGGGCGUUCGGUGGUGCAUAGACUACCGGGCAUUGAAUGCGGUCACCCGUAAAGAUGUGUACCCACUCCCGAACAUCGAGGAAUGUUUCGACACACUAGCAGGUAAUGCCUGGUUCUCGAAGCUGGAUGCGAAUUCGGCUUACUACCAGGUGAAAAUCAAAGCGGAAGAUCGCAAGAAGACUGCAUUCACCACCAAGUACAGAUUAUAUGAAUUCGUGCGCAUGGGCUUUGGCCUAUGCAAUCCGCAGGCCCACUAUGUCCCAGCUCAUUCGGCUCCGGCUGCAGCGGGCGCGCCACCAGCUGCUAAAGGGGGAGUAUCAGCUACCCCUGCGGCACCAAAGGGCUCGGUUCAGACCCGGGUUUGGAAACGAACCCCGGAAUCUACCCCGGAGGCAAAGCCCCCCGUACCCCUGGCCGUUGACAGCCACUUCCACCUAGACUUCCUCGAGGGUCGUCUGGGAAAGAAGGGCUGGAAGUGUGCUGAGUUGACGUCGGGCAGGGAGCCUUGGGUCCUAGUCCGUCUGGUCGGGGUGUCGCGAAUUUCUGUGAUCCCCGCAGGUAUAAGAAUAUCGUGUUCCCGGAGGGUCAUGACUGGAAGGUCUCUGUGGGGGUACUCACCCGCUUUGCUUCCAGUUUCGAAGAAGCCGACUUAGACGCCAUGGGCCGAUUGGCUUGUGACCCUAAGACCAGCGCGCUUGUGGAGAUCGGUUUGGACUACUCUCUCCCAUCCUCCACGUGGUCGAAGCAGUUGCUUGUCUAUACAACCAUCUUAGAGCAGAUGGGAGUUACUGGCAAAGUCCUCGUACUGCAUCUGCGGGGACAAGACGGAAACACUUCCGGUGUCCCCUCUAGGAUCGUUAGAGAAGCGACCAGAAAGAGGGUCAACAGACAUCAGCGGAUUCAUAUCCACUGUUGCACCCUUGGACCUUUAGAGGUCAAGGCUUGGGGGAAAAGUUUUCCCCAACACCUACUUUAGCUUCGGCUGCAAGGUGAAGUAUUUCACUGGGGAGCAGUUGGACGCAUUCAGGAAGGUUCCUUUUCCUAGGCUAUUGCUGGAGACGGAUUCUCCAUAUCUCCCUGUAGGGUCAAAUUUAUGACCCCUGCAUACAUCGGGGAGAUUGGAGAAAUUGUCGCCUCAGCUCGGCGCGUAAGUUUUCUCACCCUCAUGGAGCGUGCUCGGAUUAAUCAUCUAGCGCUCUAUGGGGUGUAGUGAGGGUAGUAAAGGAGAAUGGAUGAGCUUCAUCCUCAACUUUUUACGAAGGGAUUCCGAUUCCCUUUGUAUUAUUGGGUUAGGUUGGUGCGUGUAGGAUUUUACAUGUUCUUUCUGUACGAUAGGAGACCAGCUGAUUCGCCUCCUCUUUGUGCCUUUUGUGUCCUUUGUUUUCUUUUGUCGUUCUUGUAUAAAAUUAUAUGAAUUAACCUGUUGUUAAUUUUGUACCUAAAUGAACUUAUAUUUUCUUUUCCCGACUUUUUUUCCUUCACAAAGGAGAAUCGAAGCCUGAAGUGAAGCACUCUUGGGAUGUCUGGCACGGUGCCAAGAACCUUGCUAAGAAACUUGCAAAGGUAAAUUGAAUGAAAAUUUUGUAAGGUUUUAAGGUUUUAAAAGUUUUGCAAGGAAUCUCCUCGUAUGUGGGAAAUAAUGAUGUGACGUAUUUCAUGACAGAGACUACAUAGGGAGUGGUUGUUCACCAUUUAUGAUCUCUUUUAUUUCAAAAUUCCCUCCCACUUCUCCAGAGAUACAUGGCAUAUAGCCAGUCACGACUGGAUUUUCAAUGUUAGUUCAAAUUGGUUUUUGGUUUUUAACAAAUGCAAAUUUUAUUUCACACAAAUGUCUGUUUUGUCUUAUUAUGAUCAUCUAUUUACAUGUUCUAAUCUAUAGGCAUCAUCAAAAGCAUCAACAAGAAGCCUACUGUAUUGGGUGAAACAUAUCAUCAGGCAUUUUUGGUACUGCUCCAAAACAUGCAGAGGGAAUCUUGUAGAUUUCAAGGUAUGGUUAUUUCCUCAUAACUGAUAUUUAAAAAAAAAACGUCUUAACAUGCUUUUGUUUCCUGCCAAAAUCUUUCAUUAUCUUUGUCUUCUUUUGGCCUGCCUAACUUGGUAGAACGGCUUAUAUAAUAAAUUCAAAUAUGGAGUUUGGAAAGGGGGGGGGUCCACAUUUACUUCCCUCUCUAUUGUUACUGCUGAAUUCCAUCAUCUGCUCUACAAUAACAUGUAUACUAAAAAAAUGUUUUUAAUCUCCAGUAAGUAUAAUACAGUACUAAAACAUUCCAAUAAGUGAACUUUGUAUUUUUGUUAAAACAGGGCUUUUACCAAGAUGCCCCCAUUUCAAUCAGCAGAAAUGAAAGGUCAAUAAAACAAACAAGAAGUGGACAGAUAAUGGAAACUCGAAAAGUUGUGCGCAAUGAUGAAAUUUUAGUGAAUACCGACGCAUUACUUGGCACAUUUAUGUUGUAGCCACAGUGAUCCAUCUCAUGAAAUAGUCACACCAGGCUAUGUAGUCAAGAUGAGCAAACAUGCUUCAUGGGGUGGAGAGCCUGAAAUUAUCGCUACCGUGCAAGCUUCCAACGUGCCAGUGAAAAUUAUUACAAGCUCUGAAGAUGCAGAAGCAGUGAAAAUGAACCAGUACUCGGUGAAAAUGUUCAAGAUGAGGCCAACCUUAUAUUUAGGAAAUAACCAUGAAAACCAUUAUAUCAACUUAGUUAAGUCAGUAAUGACGUCUUAUUCCACUCAUUUGUGUCACAAACAGGAUGUAUAUUUAAUAAAGUACAGAGAGUGUGAAUGAGAUGUUACAGCAUAUCAGGGACCAACAGAUACAAUCUCGUGGUAAUCAAAGUCUAUGCUUUGGAUACAAUAUAUACUUUCAGGCAACACCUUUUCAUUGAUUUUCUUUUGCUGGUGAUGCUACACCAAGAUGGACAUUGCACCUUUUAAAGACUACAAGAAGGUGAUAUUUUCUUCGCUUAUAAACAGUUGACUGAUGACAUCACUGCACAAAUGAGAUAUGAAGCUGUUUUCAUGGUGCAUGUUAUAUGAUGGAAUUAAUGUUGGUAAAAGGAGAACCUUGUUUAUUAUGAAAAAAAAUUCCCCCAAAGCAGAGAUUUUUUGUGAAAGUGGUAUCUUUUUUCCUUCUACAAUAGGACACAAACUACUUCCGAUGGCCCAGAGUGAAGGAAAGACAGACUAAGGCCGAGGAAAGAGAUUCAAAAUAGAGUCACACAGACAGCUUGGAAGAGAGAUUAGUAAACAAAACAGACAAAUACGACAACUUGGUAUAUAGGCAUCGUCUGUGCACCCAUGAGCAGGUCAAAAAGCAACAUACUGUGAAUGAGAUAGUAUUUGCAAUAGUUGAAACAGACAAGCAUGACAACUUGGUAUAUAGGCAUCGUCUGUGCACCCAUGAGCAGGUCAAAAAGCAACAUACUGUGAGAGAGUAUGUGCAAUAGUAGAAAACAGACAAG